CAAGCUCCGGCUUGAGCCAGCCCGCCUAAAAUCCGUCGCAUGCUUCCGGUGUCCAUGCCUGAACACGAGUAGAACGUUUUUGUUCCAGCUGGACCCGUCGGGCUGCCGCCCAAACCGAGCUUCAUGGCCUGCGCCAGGGCCAAGAAACACCGCUCAGUCAAUGAGGUUUGGACCAAGCCUACCGCGGCGCCCUGAUACUCGAAACGUGUUUUAGACGCACGGUAGACACUCGUGGGUGCGUUGAAAUUGAUGAACGGGAUAAAUUCGAACGGA
This is a long non-coding RNA of Ceratina calcarata, 273 nucleotides long. RefSeq lists it as uncharacterized. The record is from RefSeq and is a predicted model, not a curated record. NCBI's taxonomy places the organism in Eukaryota, Metazoa, Arthropoda, Insecta, Hymenoptera, Apidae. The transcript has 3 exons.